UACGGAGGGUGCAAGCGUUAAUCGGAAUUACUGGGCGUAAAGCGUGCGUAGGCGGUUCGUUAAGUCUGCUGUGAAAGCCCCGGGCUCAACCUGGGAAUGGCCGUUGAAACUGGCGAACUGGAGUGUGGCAGAGGGGGGUGGAAUUCCGCGUGUAGCAGUGAAAUGCGUAGAGAUGCGGAGGAACACCGAUGGCGAAGGCAGCCCCCUGGGCUGACACUGACGCUCAGGCACGAAAGCGUGGGGAGCAAACAGG
RNAcentral lists this ribosomal RNA (253 nucleotides) under uncultured bacterium. RNAcentral's name for it is "partial 16S ribosomal RNA". It matches the Rfam family "Bacterial small subunit ribosomal RNA", at positions 524 to 776 of the family's 1533-position model. The record is from RNAcentral.